This 433-nucleotide ribosomal RNA is filed under the name uncultured bacterium. RNAcentral's name for it is "partial 16S ribosomal RNA". It matches the Rfam family "Bacterial small subunit ribosomal RNA", at positions 29 to 507 of the family's 1533-position model. The record is from RNAcentral.
AACGAACGCUGGCGGCAUGCCUAACACAUGCAAGUCGAACGAGACCUUCGGGUCUAGUUGCGCACGGGUGCGUAACGCGUGGGAACCUGCCCUUAGGUUCGGAAUAACUCCCCGAAAGGGGUGCCAAUACCGGAUAAUGUCUUCGGACCAAAGAUUUAUCGCCUUUGGAUGGGCUCGCGUUGGAUUAGCUAGUUGGUAGGGUAAAAGCCUACCAAGGCGACGAUCCAUAGCUGGUCUGAGAGGAUGAUCAGCCACACUGGGACUGAGACACGGCCCAGACUCCUACGGGAGGCAGCAGUGGGGAAUAUUGGACAAUGGGCGAAAGCCUGAUCCAGCAAUGCCGCGUGAGUGAUGAAGGCCUUAGGGUUGUAAAGCUCUUUUGCCCGGGAUGAUAAUGACAGUACCGGGAGAAUAAGCGCCGGCUAACUCCGUG